GGUAGAGCACUGUUUUGGCUAGGGGGACAUGGAGUCUUACCAAACCAAGGCAAACUCCGAAUACCUGGAAGCGUGAGCACGGGAGACAGAGCACCGGGUGCUAACGUCCGGACUCAAAAGGGAAACAACCCAGACCGCCGGCUAAGGUCCCAAAUAACAGCUAAGUGGAAAACGAAGUGGAAAGGCCGUGACAACCAGGAAGUUGGCUUAGAAGCAGCCAUCCUUCAAAGAAAGCGUAAUAGCUCACUGGUCGAGUCCUUCUGCGCGGAAGAUGUAACGGGGCUAAGCUGUUAACCGAAGCCGCGGAUGCACUGGUAAUCCAGUGCGUGGUAGGGGAGCGUUCUGUAAGUCUGCGAAGGCGGUUCGAGAGGACUGCUGGAGAUAUCAGAAGUGCGAAUGCUGACAUGAGUAACGUUAAAGCAGGUGAAAAGCCUGCUCGCCGUAAGCCCAAGGAUUCCUGCUCUACGUUCAUCGGAGCAGGGUGAGUCGGCUCCUAAGGUCAGGCCGAAAGGCGUAGCCGAUGGGAAUCAGGUUAAUAUUCCUGAACCUGCGUCAGAUGCGAUGGGGGGACGGAGCAUGGAAGAUCAUCCGGGUGUUGGAAGUCCCGGUUGUUGAGCGUAGGAGGUCUGCAGGCAAAUCCGCAGACGCAUCUCCAAGGCAAAGACACGUGCCGCCACGGCGGCGAAGUGAUCGGAAGUGCUUCCAAGAAAAGCCUCUAAGCACCAGUCUGGCGCGGACCGUACCGCAAACCGACACUGGUGGGCGAGCUGAAUAUGCUCAGGCGCUUGAGAGAACUCGGGAGAAGGAACUCGGCAAAUUGACACCGUAACUUCGGAAGAAGGUGUGCCGUAGUACCGUGAGAGGAGAGACACCUUGAGCGGGAAUCGGUCUCAGAGAAUAGGUGGCUGCGACUGUUUAUUAAAAACACAGCACUCUGCAAAGUCGAAAGACGACGUAUAGGGUGUGAUGCCUGCCCGGUGCUGGAAGAUUAAUUGAUGGGGUGAGAGCCCUUGAUCGAAGUCCCAGUAAACGGCGGCCGUAACUAUAACGGUCCUAAGGUAGCGAAAUUCCUUGUC
Molecule: ribosomal RNA, 1076 nt
Filed under: human gut metagenome
Description: bacterial LSU rRNA
Rfam family: Bacterial large subunit ribosomal RNA
Source: RNAcentral